AGAAGGCUUGCUGAGGAGCACCCCCCCCUUUUAGGGGCCUACCCUGUAGCGCCUUACCCUGGAACGGCUUACCCUGUAACGGCUGCCGGUGGACUACCAAACUCUUGUUAUUUUAUUGUAAUCUGAGCGUCUUAUUUUAAUAUUUCAAAACUUUCAACAACGGAUCUCUUGGUUCUGGCAUCAAUGAAGAACGCAGCGAAAUGCGAUAAGUAAUGUGAAUUGCAAAAUUCAGUGAAUCAUCGAAUCUUUGAACGCACAUUGCGCCCAUUAGUAUUCUAGUGGGCAUGCCUGUUCGGGCGUGGUUUCAACCCUUAAGCCUAGCUUAAUGUUGGGAGCCUACUGCUUUUGCUAGCUGUAGCUCCUGAAAUACAAGGGGGGAUCUGCGAUAUCCUCUGAGCGUAGUAAAUUUUUAUCUCGCUUUUGACUGGAGUUGCAGCGUCUUUGGCCGCUAAAUCCCCCAAUUUUUAAUGGUUGACCUCGGAUCAGGUAAGAAUACCCGCUGAACUUAAG
RNAcentral lists this ribosomal RNA (510 nucleotides) under Pestalotiopsis microspora. RNAcentral describes it as "eukaryotic LSU rRNA". The stretch from base 149 to 302 matches the Rfam family "5.8S ribosomal RNA". The record is from RNAcentral. Lineage: Eukaryota; Fungi; Ascomycota; Sordariomycetes; Amphisphaeriales; Sporocadaceae.